RNAcentral lists this ribosomal RNA (246 nucleotides) under uncultured bacterium. Its description in RNAcentral is "partial small subunit ribosomal RNA". It matches the Rfam family "Bacterial small subunit ribosomal RNA", at positions 26 to 286 of the family's 1533-position model. The record is from RNAcentral.
AGAAUCAACGCUGGCGGCGUGCCUAACACAUGCAAGUCGAACGAGAAAGUGGAGCAAUCCAUUAGUAAAGUUGCGCACGGGUGAGUAACACGUGACUAACCUACCCUUGAGUGGGGGAUAACCUAGGGAAACCUGGGCUAAUACCGCAUAAUACCUUCGGGUCAAAGGAGCAAUUCGCUUAAGGAGGGGGUCGCGGCCGAUUAGCUAGUUGGCGGGGUAAUGGCCCACCAAGGCGAUGAUCGGUAU